GUUGGUGUGCAGAUACUUUGUGUGGACGUUGCAUGCUUCUUUUUUUUGAUUUUCAGCAUCCACAUAUAAGUAACGCAUGUAGAUGCCUACACAUUAAGGUGCACCUUUUAUGUGCGAGAAUCUGCACAUAUGAAACUGAAAAAGAUAGAAAAUUUUCUCCAUAUUUUUAAGAAAGCCUUUAAUUUGAGAAAGAAAUAAUUUUUUUUAUGGUAGAU
RNAcentral lists this long non-coding RNA (215 nucleotides) under Elaeis guineensis (African oil palm). Its description in RNAcentral is "long non-coding RNA (EGUI_LNC043872)". The record is from RNAcentral. Lineage: Eukaryota; Viridiplantae; Streptophyta; Magnoliopsida; Arecales; Arecaceae.